UACGAAGGGGGCUAGCGUUGCUCGGAAUUACUGGGCGUAAAGCGCACGUAGGCGGUCUUUUAAGUCGGGGGUGAAAUCCUGGAGCUCAACUCCAGAACUGCCUUUGAUACUGAGAAGCUUGAGUCCGGGAGAGGUGAGUGGAACUGCGAGUGUAGAGGUGAAAUUCGUAGAUAUUCGCAAGAACACCAGUGGCGAAGGCGGCUCACUGGCCCGGUACUGACGCUGAGGUGCGAAAGCGUGGGGAGCAAACAGG
Molecule: ribosomal RNA, 253 nt
Filed under: uncultured bacterium
Lineage: Bacteria
Description: partial 16S ribosomal RNA
Rfam family: Bacterial small subunit ribosomal RNA
Source: RNAcentral